GACGAACGCUGGCGGCGUGCUUAACACAUGCAAGUCGAACGGAAAGGCCCUGCUUUUGUGGGGUGCUCGAGUGGCGAACGGGUGAGUAACACGUGAGUAACCUGCCCUUGACUUUGGGAUAACUUCAGGAAACUGGGGCUAAUACCGGAUAGGAGCUCCUGCUGCAUGGUGGGGGUUGGAAAGUUUCGGCGGUUGGGGAUGGACUCGCGGCUUAUCAGCUUGUUGGUGGGGUAGUGGCUUACCAAGGCUUUGACGGGUAGCCGGCCUGAGAGGGUGACCGGCCACAUUGGGACUGAGAUACGGCCCAGACUCCUACGGGAGGCAGCAGUGGGGAAUAUUGCACAAUGGGCGGAAGCCUGAUGCAGCAACGCCGCGUGCGGGAUGACGGCCUUCGGGUUGUAAACCGCUUUCGCCUGUGACGAAGCGUGAGUGACGGUAAUGGGUAAAGAAGCACCGGCUAACUACGUGCCAGCAGCCGCGGUGAUACGUAGGGUGCGAGCGUUGUCCGGAUUUAUUGGGCGUAAAGGGCUCGUAGGUGGUUGAUCGCGUCGGAAGUGUAAUCUUGGGGCUUAACCCUGAGCGUGCUUUCGAUACGGGUUGACUUGAGGAAGGUAGGGGAGAAUGGAAUUCCUGGUGGAGCGGUGGAAUGCGCAGAUAUCAGGAGGAACACCAGUGGCGAAGGCGGUCCUCUGGGCCUUUCCUGACGCUGAGGAGCGAAAGCGUGGGGAGCGAACAGGCUUAGAUACCCUGGUAGUCCACGCUGUAAACGGUGGGUACUAGGUGUGGGGUCCAUUCCACGGGUUCCGUGCCGUAGCUAACGCUUUAAGUACCCCGCCUGGGGAGUACGGCCGCAAGGCUAAAACUCAAAGGAAUUGACGGGGCCCCGCACAAGCGGCGGAGCAUGCGGAUUAAUUCGAUGCAACGCGUAGAACCUUACCUGGGUUUGACAUGGAUCGGGAGCGCUCAGAGAUGGGUGUGCCUCUUUUGGGGUCGGUUCACAGGUGGUGCAUGGCUGUCGUCAGCUCGUGUCGUGAGAUGUUGGGUUAAGUCCCGCAACGAGCGCAACCCUUGUUCACUGUUGCCAGCACGUUAUGGUGGGGACUCAGUGGAGACCGCCGGGGUCAACUCGGAGGAAGGUGGGGAUGACGUCAAGUCAUCAUGCCCCUUAUGUCCAGGGCUUCACGCAUGCUACAAUGGCUGGUACAGAGAGUGGCGAGCCUGUGAGGGUGAGCGAAUCUCGGAAAGCCGGUCUCAGUUCGGAUUGGGGUCUGCAACUCGACCUCAUGAAGUCGGAGUCGCUAGUAAUCGCAGAUCAGCAACGCUGCGGUGAAUACGUUCCCGGGGCU
This 1346-nucleotide ribosomal RNA is filed under the name uncultured bacterium. Its description in RNAcentral is "bacterial SSU rRNA". It matches the Rfam family "Bacterial small subunit ribosomal RNA", at positions 28 to 1381 of the family's 1533-position model. The record is from RNAcentral.